Long non-coding RNA from Ictidomys tridecemlineatus (thirteen-lined ground squirrel), 1167 nucleotides. RefSeq lists it as uncharacterized. The record is from RefSeq and is a predicted model, not a curated record. Lineage: Eukaryota; Metazoa; Chordata; Mammalia; Rodentia; Sciuridae.
CGAUCCUCAGCACCACAUACAAACAAAAAUGUUGUGUCCCCCGAAAACUAAAAAAUAAAUAAUAAAAAAAAAUUCUAAAAAAAAAAAUCUUUGGUUAAAUCACAUACAUCUCUGUAUUUUGAUGUCUUCAUUUCUAAAAUGAGAGCAAUGAUAAUACCUACCUCUAGGGUUAUUGUGAGGAUUAAGUGGCUUAGACACGAAAACACUAACAAAGUUCUUGGCACAGAGUAGGUGCUUGAAGAUUUUAACGAUGGUGAUGAUGAUGAUGAUUAUUCUCUGCAGGAUUUAGCAUAAGCCUAAAGGUCCUUUUUGAUCAUUCUGUCUACAAUGGGAAACAUACAGGAGGAGCAAGAGUGGGUGUAAGUUGACAGGAGCCAAUUGGGAGAAGAUUGAAUUAGGGUGAUGGUUGAAACAGAAAGAAGAAGGUAGACUUGAGAGAAACUUGAGAGGUGACAUCAACAAGUCCUGUUGAUGGAUAGCACACGGGGGAUGAGGACGUGCUCAGAUGACAUAGUAGAAGCCUAACAGUGACAUGUUAAUACAGCACGAAAUCAAUCCUUAUUUUGUUUCCCUGCUUUCCUCUCUUCCAUCUUUUCCUACUAUGAUGUCUCUUUUCUUUCUUGCCAACAUUAAGACACAUCAGAAAUAAAAUAAAAUAAAGGACCAAAAGGAGACACCAGACACAGAAGCAUGAACUAUCUGGCAACAUGUUACAAAAACAGGAGACUUUCCUUCUACCUGAAUCUUGGCUUGUUGGUGCCAAUAUGUGAAGAAAGCAUGGCAACUGAGUGGAAAGAGAAGGGCCUCUUUUACAUCUGCUUAGGUUAGUGAACUGUCUUCGGCCGAGGCUGGUGACCUGUGAUCUCUCUCACCUUCCACAUCAAGGCUGACAUGUGUGGACACAUGGAAUCCUUCACCUUCAGUUCUCCCUCUCUCCUGAUGAAGGGAAGAUGCUUCAUCAGUGCCUCAGUGUCAUGAUGAGUCUGAAUUAUCACUCUGGAGGACUCAAAUGAUGGAGAACAAGGGUUAGCCAUCUUCCCCCUGGCACUUUUUUGGGUAAUUUGCUGGCCCUGAUAUAGAAAUUAAGGGCAACUAAACUGGCUUUUCUUUCCCUCUUUUUAAAAAAUUAUUUUGGCUGUUUAUUUUUUAUCAAUUCAUUAUACGUAA